RNAcentral lists this ribosomal RNA (253 nucleotides) under uncultured bacterium. Its description in RNAcentral is "partial 16S ribosomal RNA". It matches the Rfam family "Bacterial small subunit ribosomal RNA", at positions 524 to 776 of the family's 1533-position model. The record is from RNAcentral.
CACGGGGGGAGCAAGCGUUGUUCGGAAUCACUGGGCGUAAAGGGCGUCUAGGCGGUCAGAUAAGUGGGAUGUGAAAUGCCCCGGCUCACCCGGGGACCGGCAUCCCAAACUGUCUGGCUUGAGUAUGGGAGAGGAUGUGGGAAUUCCUGGUGUAGCGGUGAAAUGCGUAGAUAUCGGGAGGAACAUCAGUGGCGAAGGCGGCUACCUGGCCCAAUACUGACACUCAGGUGCGACAGCGUGGGGAGCAAACAGG